This 459-nucleotide long non-coding RNA is filed under the name Prunus persica (peach). RNAcentral's name for it is "long non-coding RNA (PPER_LNC005277)". The record is from RNAcentral. Lineage: Eukaryota; Viridiplantae; Streptophyta; Magnoliopsida; Rosales; Rosaceae.
GACAAUUCAGGUUCGUACGAAGUUCGUUACGAAAUGGAGUGGUUGAUGUAUUGCACAGUUGUACAGAUUGGAUUUCACUCAAAACUCACCAAAUGACUCCUCCCACCCUAUUAUUGUGUCCCCCAAGUUUUGUACUCAAUCCGAUAUCGAUUGGUCCAUGAAAUUGGACAAUUCAGGUUCGUACGAAGUUCGUUCUGAAAUGGAGUGGUUAGUGUAUUGCAUAGUUUUAGCCCUAGGAUUUCACUCAAAAGACAACAAAUGACUUCUCCCGCCGUAUUAGGAUGUUCGCCAAGUUUUGUACUCAAUCCGAUAUCGAUUGGUCCAUGAAAUUGGACAAUUCAUGUUUGUACGAAGUUUGUUAUGAAAUGGAGUGGUUAGUGUAUUGCAUAGUUUUGGCCAUUGGAUUUCACUGAAAAGCCACCAAAUGGCUUUUCCCAUCAUAUUAUGAUGUUCCCCUUG